GCCGCGGUAAUACGGAGGGUGCAAGCGUUAAUCGGAAUUACUGGGCGUAAAGCGCACGCAGGCGGUCUGUCAAGUCGGAUGUGAAAUCCCCGGGCUCAACCUGGGAACUGCAUUCGAAACUGGCAGGCUAGAGUCUUGUAGAGGGGGGUAGAAUUCCAGGUGUAGCGGUGAAAUGCGUAGAGAUCUGGAGGAAUACCGGUGGCGAAGGCGGCCCCCUGGACAAAGACUGACGCUCAGGUGCGAAAGCGUGGGGAGCAAACAGGAUUAGAUACCCUGGUAGUCCACGCCGUAAACGAUGUCGAUUUGGAGGUUGUGCCCUUGAGGCGUGGCUUCCGGAGCUAACGCGUUAAAUCGACCGCCUGGGGAGUACGGCCGCAAGGUUAAAACUCAAAUGAAUUGACGGGGGCCCGCACAAGCGGUGGAGCAUGUGGUUUAAUUCGAUGCAACGCGAAGAACCUUACCUGGUCUUGACAUCCACAGAACUUUCCAGAGAUGGAUUGGUGCCUUCGGGAACUGUGAGACAGGUGCUGCAUGGCUGUCGUCAGCUCGUGUUGUGAAAUGUUGGGUUAAGUCCCGCAACGAGCGCAACCC
This 591-nucleotide ribosomal RNA is filed under the name Klebsiella pneumoniae. Its description in RNAcentral is "bacterial SSU rRNA". It matches the Rfam family "Bacterial small subunit ribosomal RNA", at positions 514 to 1104 of the family's 1533-position model. The record is from RNAcentral. Lineage: Bacteria; Pseudomonadati; Pseudomonadota; Gammaproteobacteria; Enterobacterales; Enterobacteriaceae.